GACCUUUCUUCUCGGCCCGUGAACCCCUAUAUUGGGGAUGCCGGCGCAAGCCGGCUAUGGCGAUAAAUGGCCGUCGUAAUAAACCUAUCGGACCCGGGGGCAGUACCCGGCGCCUCCACCCGUGCGGUUCGGUGUCGCCAGCGCGACGCCAGAUCAGGCUCGAAGGACCGAACUCUGAGGACCGAACUCUGAGGACCGCACCGGCGGGGGCGAAAUAGGAUCGACGAGGGCGUAAAGGGCGAGCUUUUGCUCGGCAUGGUACCGCCGUUAUCGGGCCAAUUGUGUAGUUGCGAAUGACAACUAUGCUCCGGUUGCUCAGGCCGCGUAAGCGGUUUGAAAAGCCGAACUUAAAGUCCUGACGGGAUAAGCUCCGGCAGGCGGGGUUCGGAGGCACCUGGCAACAGAAGCCUCCACU
This 415-nucleotide transfer-messenger RNA is filed under the name Astrobacterium formosum. It matches the Rfam family "Alphaproteobacteria transfer-messenger RNA". From Rfam's summary of the family: Bacterial tmRNA, also known as 10Sa RNA or SsrA, is named for its dual tRNA and mRNA-like properties. The record is from RNAcentral. Lineage: Bacteria; Pseudomonadati; Pseudomonadota; Alphaproteobacteria; Hyphomicrobiales; Nitrobacteraceae.